UGGGAUGGGAUCGGGGCAGGAUCCCGGCACAUUUUGGGUAGGAUCCCGGCAGGUUUGGGGUCAGAUCCUGGCAGAUUUUGGGCAGGAUCCCCACAGAUGUUGGGCAGGAUCCCGGCAGGUUUUAGGUAGGAUCCGGGAAGAUUUGGGGCAGGAUCCCAGCAGAUUUUAAUGAGGAUCCCGGCAGGUUGGGGGCAGGAUCCCAGUAGGUUUGGGGUCGGAUCCCAGUAAAUUUGGGGCAGGAUCCCGGCAGGAUCCUGUCAGAUUUUAUUCCAGAUCCAAACAGACUUCGGGCAGGAUCCCGGCAGGUUUGGGGUCGGAUCCCAGCACAUUUUAGGCAGGAUCCUGGCAGAUUUGGGGCAGAAUCCAGGCAGGUUUUAGGAUCCACGGGGACUUGAGGCAGGAUCCCAUCAGGUUUUAAGCAGGAUCCAGGCACAUUUUAGGCAGAAUCCCAGCAUAUAUGGGGCAGGACCCAGGCAGGAUCCAGGCAUGUUUUGGGCAGAAUCCUGGCAUAUUUGGGGCAGGAUCCAGGCAAGUUUUAGGCAAAAUCCCAGCUGGUUUGGGGCAGGAUCCCGGCACAUUUUGGGCAGAAUCCUGGCAUAUUUGGGGCAGGGUCCCAGCACGUUUUAGGCAGAAUCCUGGCAUGUUUGGGGCAGAAUCCAGGCACAUUUUAGGCAGAAUCUUGGCAGAUUUGGGGCAGGAUCCUGGCUCAUUUUGGGCAGGAUCCCAGCACAUUUGGGGCAGAAUCCCGGCAUAUUUGGGGCAGGACCCAGGCACAUUUUACACAGAAUCCUGGCAUGUUUGGGGCAGGAUCCAGGCACAUUUUGGGCAGAAUCCCAGCUGGUUUGGGGUACAUUUUGGGCAGGAUCCUGGUAUAUUUGGGGCAGGAUCCCAUCAGGUUUUGGGCAGGAUCCCGUGGGGAUCCGCGGCAGGCCCCGUGCAGGCCCCAGCCCCUGGCCUGCUGCCAGCGGGGCCGGUAACGGCGCCGGGUUCCUGCGGUUCGGGCCCAGCGGGGCCGGGCGGAAACGGCCCCAACGGCCCCGGCACCGCAGCGGGGGUCCCGCGGGGCUGUGUUAUUGUAGGGUCUCCUGGUGUGAUAACGUGGGGUCCUUGGGCACUGUUAUUGUAGGGUCUCCUGGUGUUGUGGUAAUGUUGGGUCCUCAAACACUGUUAUUGUGGGGUCUCCUGGCUCUGGGUUUGUUUGUUAUCAGGUUUCCUGGCGUUAUGUUAUUGUAGGGUCUCCUGGUGUUGUGGUAAUGUGGGGUCCUCGGGCACGGUGUUAUUGUAGGGUCUCCAGGCUCUGGGUUUGUUAUCAGGUUUCCUGAUAUGUUCUUGUAGGGUUUCCUGGUGCCGCGUUGUUGUAAGGGCCCUGGCACUGUGUUAUUGUAGGGUCUCUUGGCUCUGUGUUAUUGUAGGGUCUCCUGGCAUUAUGUUAUUGUAGGGUCUCCUGUUUUUGGUUUGUUUUGUUUUAUUAUUAUUAUUGUAGGGUCUCUUAGGGCUAUGUUAUUGUAGGGUCUCCUGUCUCUUUGUUUUUAUAGGGUCUCCCAUUUUUUUUGUUAUUGUAGGGUCUCCUGGCAAUAUGUUAUUGUAGGGUCCCUGCUGCUGUGUUUUAGGGGGGAUGGGGGUGGCGGGGGGGUGACGGGGGGGUGUGUGUGGGGGUGACACGUGGUGACGGGGGGUGACAUGGGGUGACACGGGGGUGACACCUGCCCCGCGGCGGUUGGCCCUUGUGCAACGUCCCUUGGCAUUGGGCAAUGGGGUGGCGCAAGGCGG
RNAcentral lists this long non-coding RNA (1770 nucleotides) under Anas platyrhynchos platyrhynchos (common mallard). RNAcentral's name for it is "lncRNA (ENSAPLG00000025820.1)". Lineage: Eukaryota; Metazoa; Chordata; Aves; Anseriformes; Anatidae. The record is from RNAcentral.